RNAcentral lists this long non-coding RNA (545 nucleotides) under Pan troglodytes (chimpanzee). RNAcentral's name for it is "lincRNA". Lineage: Eukaryota; Metazoa; Chordata; Mammalia; Primates; Hominidae. The record is from RNAcentral.
AAGGGUCCUAGAGCCGUGGGGAGGGGCAGCCCGUGGCCUGGAGCAGUGGAGGUGUUAAUCACUGAAGGGAGGUAGAAUGUUUUUCCCCACCAGAGGAGGCAGCGACCACGUCUCCUCUAUGGAGGCAUUCAAGAGCCGUCCAGCUGAAGCAGCAUCACUGUCUGAGCUUGGAAGGCACAAUCCACAUAGGUCUGCAUGGUCCACCGAGCUACAUACCCACGGGGCCAGCGGGAGGUGGGCAGCUGCUGGGCUCUCUUCUGAAGCAGACAGGAUCUCACUCUGUUGCCGAGGCUGGAUCACAGCUCCCUGCAACCUUGAACUCUCCCUCAAGCAAUCCUCCCCACUCUGCCUUCCAAAGCACUAGCAUUGUAGGCCUAAGCCACCACUCCCAUCCACUGUAGUGUAAACUGUCUCCUUCAAUGUUUCCAAUAGUUGCGGAGCAGAUCAGAUAAGGGUUCUUCCUGUCUGUUGCUUCAAGUUUCAUUCUCUCUUUAAAUGAUAUAAGGUUGGCUUCCAUGGUUCCUUCUUAAAGAAUGUUGAAGGUG